RNAcentral lists this long non-coding RNA (1537 nucleotides) under Mytilus galloprovincialis (Mediterranean mussel). Lineage: Eukaryota; Metazoa; Mollusca; Bivalvia; Mytilida; Mytilidae. The record is from RNAcentral.
GCGGGCAGCAUAGGUGGUUUCAUAUAUCGACAUCUUUAUCUAAAUUUAUACAAUGUUCUACGUAUGUUGCAUAGCAUACAGAGUUCCCAACAUAUUGUUGAGGAUGAAAGUCCUUAUUCCAUUGUCUAUAAAAUCUUGUUACUAUUCACUUUCGGCUGUUCAACAAAUAUUCGUAUCUUACUUUUAACUUCUUUUUCCUGGCUGAAUAAAGAUUUUUUAUGGACAUAUUGCGUAAUAAUUGUCCAAAUUAAAGUUUCAGGAUGUACGCUAUUGACCAUUGGGGAAUUCCCUGCUUAUCAAAACGAGACAACGGAUAUUUUGUAUAUUAAUUCUUAUUGCCCUAUUUAGAACGUUAAUGAUAAGUCUAUGUUCCAUCAGUCUCCAUCUCGGAACAGCUUUACAUUCUAUAUGCUGCAUGUACACUGAACCAAAACAUAUGAGAAAUACAUGCAUGCCGUUUAGUCAGCUAUGCAAGACCCCGACAUGAAAACGAGAAAACUAACAACAAAAUUUGUAACAAUACACUUUACGAAAUAUAAAAUAACCGACAUGAACCAAAGACAACUACUGAACCAAAGGCUCACGACUUGGGAGAGGCAUGCACGACGGAGUUAAAAUGUCUGUGAGCGCUUGACCCUCCCCAAACCUUGGGCAACGACACAACAACACAACACACGAACAAACUGUUAAAACAGUUACAAACUCAAUAAGCUGUUACGGAGCACAAACACAACUACAUGUCAUAUUUAUAUACCUUAAAGUAGUUCGAUAUAUCAGAUGAUACUUAAAUAGCUUCUGCUUUAUUUUGCUUUUGCAUAUUAUUAAUUUAUACAUAUAUAUUUUUUUUAAAAACCCGGAGAACUGUAAUUGGUCUUAUCCUUGCCCUGUUGUCCUAAGAUAAUAGUUGCCAGGCUUAUUGGCAAUCAGCAUCCCUCGAAGGACAACAAAACAAGUAUGUGAACAACUCCAUGUUAUCGUAUGAGCUGCAACAAUGAGCAAAACCGAAACUAUACAAUAUGCUAUACAUGGCACCGGGAUGACAAAAGUGUAUAAUAAUAUUAAACUAUAGGAACAAGCUUCAUGUCAUCGAAUCAUGACAAUAUUAUAAACUAACAAAUGGUGGUGGCAAAUGUCGAAUUCAAACAAGUUUCCUAGCCUUUAAAAUUAAGCCACAGAAAUGGGAAACUAGGCACAUGUUGGAAAAUAAACGACUGGGACUGGGCGUAUCUUCAAAACGAACCUUCAGGAACUACGCACAUAUUCUUUAAACAUGGAAACGACAGGGACAGGGCACAUCUCCGAAGAAAAGAAAUAAUAGGUACAGAGCACACAUUCGUACAAAACCGACAUGGACUGGUUAUAUCUUCGAAAAGAAUCGACAGGAUUGGGCAUAUCUUCAAAAAGAAUCGACAGAACAAUUAAGGGUGUAGCAUACUCGUAUAUCAACUAUAUACGUUAGAUAAUCCAUGCAGACAUUUGGAGACUUGUAUAUGUUUUAAACAUAUAUUGUCUUAUAUAAAUGACAGUAGAUCCUUAA